GAAUUAUCGUAAUUUGUUUUAACCUAAGACAUAAACAAUAACCAGGAUAAUCUUUUUAUUCUAAAAAGAACUCCUAAAAGAAAAGAAACUAAUCUUAAAGAAAGUGAUAAACAAAUAAAAAUAGAAGAUCUGUUUUGACAUGAAAUAGAUAUAUCCAUAUAUCUUUGACUUAUUUUUAUGAAAUGAUAAAAUAUGGUAAAACCUCUACCAAAAUUUGGUUCACUUAGGAAUGGGAGCAGUAGUGCAUAGAAAAGUGUGAUAGUCCAGUAGUCGAAAGUAUCACUAGUUUAAGCUCUGACCCGAGUAGCAUGGGGCACGUGGAAUCCCAUGUGAAUCAGCAAGGACCACCUUGCAAGGCUAAAUACUCUUGGGUGACCGAUAGCGAAGUAGUACCAUGAGGGAAGGGUGAAAAGAACCUCUAUUGAGGAGUGAAAUAUAGCAUGAAACCGUAAGCUCCCAAGCAGUGGGAGGAGCCCAGGGCCCUGACUGCGUGCCUAUUGAAGAAUGAGUCGAUGACUCAUAGGUAGUGGCUUGGUUAAGGGAACUCAUCGGAGCCGUAACUAAAUCGAGUCUUCAUAGGGAAAUUUUCACUGCCUAUGGACUCAAACCUGGGUGAUCUAUCCAUGACUAGGAUAAAGCUUGGGUGAAACUAAGUGGAGGUCUGAACCGAUUGAUGUUGAAGAAUCAGCGGAUGAGUUAUGGUUAGGGGUAAAAUGCCCCUCGAACCUAGAGUUAGCUGGUUCUCCCCAAAAUGUAUUGAGGCGUAGCAAUCUACUGGACAUCUAAGGGUAAAGCACUAUUUCGGUGUAAGCCACGAGAGCAGUACCAAAUCGAGGCAAACUAUGAAUACUAGAUAUGACCUCAAAAUAAUAGGGGUCGAGGUCGAUCAGUGAGACGAUGAGGGAUAAGCUUUAUCAUUGAGAGGGAAACAAUCUGGAUCACCAACUAAGGCCCCAAAAUGACCUCUCCGUGAUAAAGGAGGUAGGGGUGUAGAGACUACCAUGAGGUUUCCAUAGAAGUAGCCACCCUUGAAAGAGUGCGUAGGAGCUCACUAAUUAAGAGCUCUUGCGCCUAAGAUGAAUGGGGCUAAAAAAUUAGCCGAAGCUGUGGGAUAUAAAAAUGUAUCGGUAGGGGAGCGUUCUGUCUUAAGGGGAAGCACCCACAUGAGUGGGAGUAGACGAAGCGAAAGUGAGAAUGUCGGCUUGAGUAAUGCAAACAUUGGUUAGAAUCCAAUGCCCCGAAAAAUGAUGGGCUCCUCCACAAGGUUCAUCCACAAAGGGUGAGUUAAGGCCUAAGCUCAGGCCGAAAGGCGUAGUCGAUGGACAACAGGUGAAUAUUCCUGUACUACCCCUUGUUGGUCUCGAGGGACGAAGGAAGCUAGGUUAGUUGAAAGAUGGUUAUCAGCUCAAUGAGGCAAGGUGCCCCUACUUUUUCAGGGUAGGAAAGGGUAGAAAAAAUGCCCCAAGCCAAUGUUCGAGUACCAGACACUACGACGUUGAAGUAACCCAUGCUAUAUUCCUAGGAAAAGCUCAAACAACCUUCAACAAAAGGGUACCUGUACCCGAAACUUACACAAGUGGGUAGGUAGAGAAUACCUAGAGGCGCGAGACAACUCACUCUAAGGAACUUGAUAAAAUAACCUUGUAACUUCGGGAGAAGGGGUGCCUCCUCACAAAGGAGGUCGCAGUGACUAAGCCUGGGCAACUGUUUACAAAAAAUACAGAUCUCCGUAAAGUCGUAAGACCAUGUAUAAGGGUUGACGCCUACCUAGUACAGGAAUGUCAAGGAAGUUGGUGACCUGAUGAUAGGGAAGCUGGUGACCAAAGCUCUAGUGAAUGAUGACCAUAACUAUAACGGUCCGACCAUAACUAUAACGGUCCUAAGGUAGCGAAAUUCCUUGUCAGGUAAGUUUCGACUUGUACGAAAGGCUUAACGAUCUGGGCACUGGCUCGGAGAGAGGCUCAAUGAAAUAG
Molecule: non-coding RNA, 1973 nt
Filed under: Gossypium arboreum
Lineage: Eukaryota; Viridiplantae; Streptophyta; Magnoliopsida; Malvales; Malvaceae
Description: Bacterial large subunit ribosomal RNA
Rfam family: Bacterial large subunit ribosomal RNA
Source: Rfam by way of RNAcentral